This 75-nucleotide transfer RNA is filed under the name Neolewinella marina. RNAcentral describes it as "Lewinella marina tRNA-Thr". It matches the Rfam family "tRNA". Rfam says of the family: Transfer RNA (tRNA) molecules are approximately 80 nucleotides in length. Lineage: Bacteria; Pseudomonadati; Bacteroidota; Saprospiria; Saprospirales; Lewinellaceae. The record is from RNAcentral. RNAcentral also lists the same sequence under 4 other names.
GCCGACGUAGCUCAGGGGUAGAGCACUUCCAUGGUAAGGAAGGGGUCGUGAGUUCAAAUCUCACCGUUGGCUCAA